CUUCAGAAUUGAUUUAUUUAUCAAUUAUUGCACAUAAACAUAAACAAUGGUGGCAGUCUGUGUAGUUUAUGGGCGCUGUCAAGACGUUUACGUGGGUAUAUGUUUUCAUACAGCUCCUUUCAGUUCUCCAUAAAGCGUUACCGGUCCAUUUGGACUUUAUCAAAGACGGCCACUUUUCUGUUGCCAGAAGUACACACGCAUGUGCAAAGUCACACGUAUAGUUCAAAACUUCCCGAGCUUGGCGUGCCAACUGCACAUAAAAAAAAUGUGACCGCCUCCAUUGUUAUGUUUUGACAGGUCACUUGAACAAAUAAAUAAUUAAUAAUUCACAGCAAGAUAUACGUAUUUCUGAGUUUCAAACUUAAUUACAUUGCAGGAUAUGAAUCUAAAAAGUGAGUGGGAAAAAGCUCUUUUGAUAACCCUGAGACAGAUGUUCUUUGCGAAAUAAAUUUUCGAGCGAAGAUGUAGAAAAAUUCUUUGAAAGAAAAUGCCGGAUGGAACAAUCCACCGGAUACAGAGAAAAGUUUAAAACGGAACGCUAUUCCGAUGAAGGAUGAUGAUUUCGAGAUCGGCGGCCAUAUUUUUUUCAAGUGCGGUUGGCAGGCCACGCUCGGGAAGUUUUGACCUAUGCGUAAGUGUGAUUUUGCACCCCUUUGUGUGCUUAAUUCUAGCAACAGAAAAGUGCUCAUUUUCAGUUCCACUAGUUUAGUCUCCUUAUGUAUAUUCUCCAUGGGGAAACGCCUUAACGAAAAGGUGAUGUCUGGAAAUUUUUUGUGGCUGUAAGUCAAGAUGGGACAGAUGGUUUUAGGUGCAAUUACUGCAACAUGUUUUACAUGAAAAAUGCAACUAAUUUUUUAAUGUUCAAAAUCAUUUAUUUUCAUGUAAAAAGACGCUUUCCUAAUUUCAAGCAUUUUUAAUUUUGUUCUUUUUUUAUGUACAACACAUCUAUUUAUGUAAAAAAAUCUACAUCUUAAAGGUGGGCUGCAUUAAAUAAAUAUAUAUUUUG
Molecule: long non-coding RNA, 1006 nt
Organism: Belonocnema kinseyi
Lineage: Eukaryota; Metazoa; Arthropoda; Insecta; Hymenoptera; Cynipidae
Exons: 3
Source: RefSeq, a predicted model, not a curated record